This 767-nucleotide long non-coding RNA is filed under the name Homo sapiens (human). Its description in RNAcentral is "HSALNT0357920". The record is from RNAcentral. Lineage: Eukaryota; Metazoa; Chordata; Mammalia; Primates; Hominidae.
AAGGAAAUCUUUCCAUAUCACCCAGGCUGAUCUUCAACGAACUGGACUCAAGUAUUCCUCCCACCUCGGCCUCCAGGGGGGACUGUUUGACGCCAGAGUGGAGACGGUCAGGCAGCCACUCGGGCCUUGGAAGCAAAGUCAAAAGUUGAAUGUACAGCUGGUAUAAAAAUGGUGCUUUGUCGUCAUGAAGAAGGUGUAUUCUGGGAUCAAACCACCUGGCUGGAGAUGCUUACUAACCUCAGUUUCUUCAUCUGACCUUACCUUUCUAAAAGAAUAAGAAGAAGAUGAUACAUAUUCCUCUAAAGUCCCAACAGGAACCUUUUCCCCUCACUCCCUCCCCAGAGAUGUGUAUCAUUUCCAUGAGUGUCUGUACUUUUACAACAUGUGCAUAUUAAUAAACAAAAUAUGACAAAUUAUUUUGUCUUAAUAUUUGCAUAAAUCUAGCCAUACUCUACACCACUUUUGCAACUUUCACUAUUAUAUAUUUUGAAGAUUAUCCGUGUUUAUGCACAUAAGUUUAUCAUUUUAACUGUUGAAUAGUGUUUCAUUAUAUGAAUUAACCAUAAUUCAUCUAUUUCCCUGAGUGACAAUUAGGUUUCUUUUUGUUUUUAUGCUCUGAUGAACAAUCUUGCAAUUAUUAUCUUUGUAUAUGUCUUCAUGUAUAAGAAAUUCUCCAGGGUAGACACUUAGAAGUAAAGGGUCUGACUCAGAGAGUCUGUGUAUUUUAAAAUGUAUUGGUUAUUGUCAAAUUGUUCCUCAAAGUAGAU